UACGGAGGAUGCGAGCGUUAUCCGGAUUUAUUGGGUUUAAAGGGUGCGUAGGCGGAUCGUUAAGUCAGUGGUCAAAUUGAGGGGCUCAACCCCUUCCCGCCAUUGAAACUGGCGUUCUUGAGUGGAAGAGAAGUAUGCGGAAUGCGUGGUGUAGCGGUGAAAUGCAUAGAUAUCACGCAGAACCCCGAUUGCGAAGGCAGCAUGCCGGCUUCCGACUGACGCUGAAGCACGAAAGCGUGGGGAUCGAACAGG
Molecule: ribosomal RNA, 252 nt
Filed under: uncultured prokaryote
Description: partial 16S ribosomal RNA
Rfam family: Bacterial small subunit ribosomal RNA
Source: RNAcentral